Molecule: long non-coding RNA, 1319 nt
Organism: Mustela lutreola (European mink)
Lineage: Eukaryota; Metazoa; Chordata; Mammalia; Carnivora; Mustelidae
Exons: 4
Source: RefSeq, a predicted model, not a curated record
CCCAGCCCGGCUUGGCUUUUUCUUCAGGUGCCUGUGGACAAGUCCCCAAGACAAAAGGCCCCAAAGGGCUACAGAAGCAACAGGAACUUGCUCUUUGGAUAAUUCUCCAGGAAGGGGGCGGGUGAGACACCCCGCAUGCAGUCCUGCUCUGGAAUCUGGACUCCCCGCCCAGCACCCCACCCCGCACCCCUACCCCAGGCAGAGAGCUGCCUGGAGCUGCUCCCCAGAGAACCACACACCAUCUUGCCGACUGACCCUGCUGCGGUGCCCCCCACCCCAGAGGAGACCCAGGAAGGAGUCUGAAAUCAAUUUACAUGGUUGUCAAAUGGCCUUCAGAAAUACGGCCACAGAGCCUGCGCUGCCGGGAGGGCCUCUGCUGACUGAGAAGCUGGCUUGCCUUGCCUGGGGUUGUGCCCGCGCGGCCCCCCUCCCCCAGCCCACCGCGGGCACCCCAACCCCAUGGUUGAGGCCCUCCCGGAGGGGUCCCACGGGCCAGGUCCCAGGGCCACCGGUGGUCCUGGAUGUGCCUUCUUGUUCCCGUUGGCAAGGGGCCUGCAUCAGAGGGUGCCCAGGACCCCAACAGGGAAGUGGGGGAGGAGUGCUGGGGUGACUCGGCCGCGUCUCCCGAAGCUCCCAGGCCGGCCACACUGUCCUCCCCAGGGGACCAGGAGCUCCUCCCGCCAACUUCACACCCAAUCCCUCCCCCUCCCCCUCUCCAGCCUCAGGUUCCCCCCUUCCCUUCCUCGGUUUCCAGACCCCACUCCAGUGCCCUAGGCCGGUCCUCGGACCAGGGCCCCUAGAUCCACAAGGGUCCGCUCUCCUAUGUCAGGGCCCAUGGGGACGCGGCAUUCCCGUAUCCAUACGCUCGUCCCCAAGACACGAGGGUCUCGCUGCUCUGCCUGUGCCGAGAAGAUCCGAAGGCCGGGCCCCCGCCCUGCCAGGCGGACCCACCUCGCAGGCCUGGACCCGCGUGCCUCUCCCUGCGGCGGCACAUCUCCACCCGGCCCUCUUGGAACUCCUCCUGGGCUGAGGAGCUCAAUCCUGGCCGCUGUCUUUGGAGUCUGCCGGGCAUCCUUUGGGUGCCAGGCUCUGUGCUAAGGUGUCGAGGAUUUGAACCAAGAAAGUGCACGCGUUUCCCGCCCCCCGAAGCUCACAGUCCCCCUAAGGGAGGCAGACAGCUGAGGAAGAAGCAGCCUCCACGGAAACCUGCGCUCCCAGAGGCCCGGAACACACGUGGGCCUGGAGGCUGCACCGGAGUGCUCACGGCCACAGACAGCAAGGCCUGAAACGUCCAUCAUAGAGAAAGAAAUUGCAAUAUA